CGCGUAGGCGGAUUGGAAAGUUGGGGGUGAAAUCCCGGGGCUCAACCCCGGAACUGCCUCCAAAACUAUCAAUCUAGAGUUCGAGAGAGGUGAGUGGAAUUCCGAGUGUAGAGGUGAAAUUCGUAGAUAUUCGGAGGAACACCAGUGGCGAAGGCGGCUCACUGGCUCGAUACUGACGCUGAGGUGCGAAAGCGUGGGGAGCAAACA
RNAcentral lists this ribosomal RNA (207 nucleotides) under uncultured bacterium. Its description in RNAcentral is "partial 16S ribosomal RNA". It matches the Rfam family "Bacterial small subunit ribosomal RNA", at positions 568 to 774 of the family's 1533-position model. The record is from RNAcentral.